RNAcentral lists this ribosomal RNA (301 nucleotides) under uncultured bacterium. RNAcentral's name for it is "partial 16S ribosomal RNA". It matches the Rfam family "Bacterial small subunit ribosomal RNA", at positions 509 to 808 of the family's 1533-position model. The record is from RNAcentral.
CAGCAGCCGCGGUAAUACGUAGGUGGCAAGCGUUGUCCGGAAUUAUUGGGCGUAAAGGGCUCGCAGGCGGUUUCUUAAGUCUGAUGUGAAAGCCCCCGGCUCAACCGGGGAGGGUCAUUGGAAACUGGGAAACUUGAGUGCAGAAGAGGAGAGUGGAAUUCCACGUGUAGCGGUGAAAUGCGUAGAGAUGUGGAGGAACACCAGUGCGAAGGCGACUCUCUGGUCUGUAACUGACGCUGAGGAGCGAAAGCGUGGGGAGCGAACAGGAUUAGAUACCCCCGUAGUCCCUGUCUCUUAUACA